This 76-nucleotide transfer RNA is filed under the name bacterium. Its description in RNAcentral is "tRNA-Ile". It matches the Rfam family "tRNA". Rfam says of the family: Transfer RNA (tRNA) molecules are approximately 80 nucleotides in length. The record is from RNAcentral.
GGGCCCAUAGCAUAACGGUUAAUGCAUCCGACUCAUAAUCGGCAGACUCUUGGUUCAAAUCCAAGUGGGCCCACCA